GCCGGGGUGCUCUAGAGGCUUGGCCGGAGAGCCUGGUAAGCCUGUGGCCCUUGUGGCCGCGUGGGUUCAAAUCCCACCCCCGGCG
The sequence is a transfer RNA, 85 nucleotides long. It matches the Rfam family "tRNA". Rfam says of the family: Transfer RNA (tRNA) molecules are approximately 80 nucleotides in length.